RNAcentral lists this long non-coding RNA (1523 nucleotides) under Brassica napus (rape). RNAcentral's name for it is "long non-coding RNA (BNAP_LNC014021)". The record is from RNAcentral. Lineage: Eukaryota; Viridiplantae; Streptophyta; Magnoliopsida; Brassicales; Brassicaceae.
ACUAUUUAAAAAAAAUAUUUUAAAAUUAUUAAUAUUUGUAAAUGUAAUUAUUAAUAUUUAUAUUGAAAAAUAUAAUAUUUAAAAAAAAAUUAUAUAUUCAAAAAUGUAAAAAUAUAUAAAUGUAAUGAAUUAUAAUUUUGAACAUAUAAUUUGGAUCUAAGUGCAAUAGAUAUUUGAUAAAAAUAAUUAUUUUGUUUUCUAGUUUUUUUAUCACAAGAAUUUUGAAAAUCACAUGGAUACAUAAGAUAUUUUACGAUAUUUUGAAAAUUGAAUCUUAUGAGUAAAAAUGAAUAGAAUUCAUCUCCCAAUAACACUAGAUUUAGUUAGAAUUAGAUAAUCAAUUAUAACUAAACUUUUUGAGUAACAAGAGAUUUGAAUGGAUUUUGAAAAUUCUUAAACAAAUAACAAUGGAUUCUACUAAAACUUUUGAGAUCGAAAAACCAAGAAGUGAAAAUAGCACAUCUCUAUAUUUUUAUCUAUAAAUAGAGGAUCUCUAUUAUAGAGAGAUACAAUAGAGCAAAUCCACCUCUGUAAUAGAAUGUGGGUUGGAAAUAGUCUAACAACUCCGUAAAUCCAAAAAUUCAAAAAAACUGAAGUCAAAUUUCUGAAUAAUUAUUUGAAACUUAAAUAGCCAUCUUAAAUAAUUUUUUUUAUAUUUUCUGAUAUCUAAAAAUAUUAAAAUAUUUGAAUAUGAACCAAAGCAAACUAAAUCUGAAAUAAGUAUUAGAAAUAAAAUUUGGAAUGCAUUACAAAUUAUAUUCAAACCUGAAACUUUUUAAUCGAAUUUGAGUCCAUUCUAAAAGAAUAAAGCCAAUGAGGAUAUAAACCUAAAUCCGAAACCCAAAUGUCCUUGGUACCAAAAGAAUAAAAAAAGAAAAUUGUCACGUCAAUUACUUAAGUCACUAUUUUAAAAAUAUUAAAAUAAAUUUCUGAGAAAAUUAGUAGAAAUGUUAACACUGGCAGAUUUGGUUGAAUUUCUUUAGAGCCACCUCCAAGGCAUAGCUAAAACGACUUUCUUACUCAUUGAAAUAAUGAAAAACAAAAAGAGAAAUCAGGGGGGGAGAUAAAGUAUCUGAAGAGAGAUUUUAAGAAACCAUGUAGAUCUUACAGUGUGGAUAUUGUAAGAUCGUGUGUUUAGUUAUUAGUCAGUUUUAUUAAAGUUUUAUUAUUUAAAUUGUUGAGAAGCUCAACAAGAGGUUGCCCUAAAUAGAAGUUCAAAUCAAAAUAAUAUUAACUUUAAUUAUGAUUUAAUUAUUAUUUAGAUAAAAUGAUUAAAUAAAAUUAGAUCAUUCAUACACAAACAUAUGAUAAAAAAUCUCAUUUGAAAACACUACUUGAGAAACUCUUCUUUCUUGAAACUGGAAAACUCUUCUUUUUCUUACUUUUAUUAUUACAAAUAGUCACAGCGUAUUUAGGAAACCUAAGAAACGAAACGUUCCAAGAACCUUAAUAUGUCAGCAAUGAAGCAUAAAAACAACAUUUCCACAAACCUACUUUUUGAUAUUCGUUUACAAAAGAAAACU